Long non-coding RNA from Felis catus (domestic cat), 1632 nucleotides. RefSeq lists it as uncharacterized. NCBI's taxonomy places the organism in Eukaryota, Metazoa, Chordata, Mammalia, Carnivora, Felidae. The transcript has 4 exons. The record is from RefSeq and is a predicted model, not a curated record.
UCUGAGCUGUCAGCACAGAGCUUGAUGCAGGGUUGAAUCCAUGAACUGCAAGAUCAUGACCUGAGCCAAAGUUGGACCCUUAACUGACUGAGCCACCAAGGUGUGCCAGACAGGGAAAUCUUUUUUACAAGUGGUAAAAUUCUAUUCUACAACAAAAUCUGCUUCCUCAUGAGGUAAUGAGCCUUUCAUCAUGAGAAGUAUGUAAGCUGAGGAGGAAAGAUUAUCUGCUGGGAAUGAUAUAGAGAAUAUUCCUACAUUGAUAAGAAAUUGGAACAAGUGACAUCUAAGGCUCUUUCCAACUCUGAGCUUAUGAGUCUGUGUUGUAAACUAUAGAGAAUAGAAAGAUACCUAUGUCUAAGAUAUGGCUAGCAUAACCAAAAUCUUUUAUAUAAACACUUUAUUGCCUAUAGGUACUAAAAAACCUUGUUUAACUAAGAAUUUUCUCAUUAAUAAAUGAACAAUUUACAAUUCAUAGUUGUCAAAUGAUAGUAUCUAGAAUAUUGAAAGAAAGAAGAAUGCUGAGAAAGAAGUCUUUUUUUUUCCCUUUUGCUACAAUACAGCAAGCCAAUUUAUCAACAACCUGUUUUUUUUUUUUUUUAAUCCCUUUGUUCUCUCCAGGAAGCCCUUGGAGACAACAGUGAAAAAAGGAGGCGAGUCUUGAGGAGUGUCUAAAUUUACCAGACCAAAUUCAGCAAUUUUGGUCACCCAGUUUGGGGUACUCUGCUGUGGCAGCCCUAGAAGACCAACACAGGAAGUCACAUACCAAGUCCAGAGUCAGUAUGGGACUGACCAAGAGCAUGGAUACAGGCAAGCAUGAGCAAACUGGGGACCAAUACUGCAAUAAUACACCCCAGAGAGUAAAGAGGAGGAGCCCAGGUCCCUUUAGUCACAGAAGUUAACGGGAACAGGAGCAAAAGCUUGAAACUAACUGAGAGAUAGUCACUGGAGUCAGCCGGACAGAUAUCAAAAUGUCAACUUGAUAAUGGUUAAAGCUAAAAGACCAAUCUGGAUCUACAUCUGCCUCCAACCCAGCAUUGAACUUUCCCCAUCCCCAGCAGGAGGUGCUGGGUACUGUAGCAGCAGCCCCACCCCCUCCCCGAGGGACAGCCUGCCCUCCAUGCCAUACUUACUACACGGUGCAGGGCUGGGCAGCACACAUGCUCUUGGAAAAUAGGAAGCUGAGCUGGAAAGCCCAAAGGACUUCUUUCUCACAGACCUGCCAAUCAGGUAAGCCACACUGACUCCUCCGGGUGGAAAGCCAGGAGGGUUACUUUGAUGAGAGGUUCUCUCUCCUGUUAGCAGCUGUGUAUUGAAAUCACCCCACUGCUGUAUUGGCUCCAGAUUUCAGGGAUCCUAAAGUACUGGGACUAUAUUCAACCCUUAUUUUUAUCCCCGAUACCUGGCAUUAGUUAUAACCUAUGAGCAGCACUCAGGAACUGAAUUCUUGUUGAAUGAGUGACUGAUUCCAUUCUAAGAUCUAAAGAGGCAAAGAAUGAAGUGCAAAGAGUUAGUGGCCUAAGGUGAAAAGCUUAGACUUUGGAACUGGGCCAAAGUGGGGUAAAUUUUCAGUUCUAGCAUUUAGGAGCUGUGCGGUCCUGGCAAUUCUUGAACUGUUCUUAAAAAUUAGGGGGC